AUCACUUCCUGGCCUUUUGGCUAAGAGUCUGAGUUUUAUCAGUUUAAUAUCUAAAACGUCCUCUUUCCAAGGACAAUGUGGUAAGUGGAUUUUGGGAGCAGGGAGAUGGACUGGCAACUUGCUGCAUCCACUCCACAUCAUACUGGUAUUACAGUGCCUCCCAGGAAUGGGGUGCCUCUU
This 180-nucleotide small nuclear RNA is filed under the name Marmota marmota marmota (Alpine marmot). Its description in RNAcentral is "U2 spliceosomal RNA (ENSMMMG00000023866.1)". It matches the Rfam family "U2 spliceosomal RNA". Rfam says of the family: U2 is a small nuclear RNA (snRNA) component of the spliceosome (involved in pre-mRNA splicing). Complementary binding between U2 snRNA (in an area lying towards the 5' end but 3' to hairpin I) and the branchpoint sequence (BPS) of the intron results the bulging out of an unpaired adenosine, on the BPS, which initiates a nucleophilic attack at the intronic 5' splice site, thus starting the first of two transesterification reactions that mediate splicing. The record is from Rfam by way of RNAcentral. Lineage: Eukaryota; Metazoa; Chordata; Mammalia; Rodentia; Sciuridae. RNAcentral also lists the same sequence under 1 other name.